AGCUUUGUGCAGUGGCAGUAUUGUAACCAAUGAGAUUUACUCGAGGCACAAUUAUUGCUAAUUGAAAGAAAAAAUAAUGGCCCCAAAAUGCAAGAGUAGUCAUGCUAGCAAUUCAGAUAUGACAAUAA
Non-coding RNA from Myotis davidii, 128 nucleotides. Lineage: Eukaryota; Metazoa; Chordata; Mammalia; Chiroptera; Vespertilionidae. The record is from Rfam.